RNAcentral lists this ribosomal RNA (253 nucleotides) under uncultured bacterium. RNAcentral's name for it is "partial 16S ribosomal RNA". It matches the Rfam family "Bacterial small subunit ribosomal RNA", at positions 524 to 776 of the family's 1533-position model. The record is from RNAcentral.
UACGAAGGGGGCUAGCGUUGUUCGGAAUUACUGGGCGUAAAGCGCACGUAGGCGGAUAAUUAAGUCAGGGGUGAAAUCCCGGGGCUCAACCCCGGAACUGCCUUUGAUACUGGCUAUCUGGAGUCCGGAAGAGGUGAGUGGAAUUCCGAGUGUAGAGGUGAAAUUCGUAGAUAUUCGGAGGAACACCAGUGGCGAAGGCGGCUCACUGGUCCGGUACUGACGCUGAGGUGCGAAAGCGUGGGGAGCAAACAGG